AGAGUUUGAUCCUGGCUCAGGAUGAACGCUGGCGGCGUGCCUAAUACAUGCAAGUCGAGCGAACAGACGAGGAGCUUGCUCCUUUGACGUUAGCGGCGGACGGGUGAGUAACACGUGGAUAACCUACCUAUAAGACUGGGAUAACUUCGGGAAACCGGAGCUAAUACCGGAUAACAUGUUGAACCGCAUGGUUCAACAGUGAAAGACGGUCUUGCUGUCACUUAUAGAUGGAUCCGCGCCGCAUUAGCUAGUUGGUAAGGUAACGGCUUACCAAGGCAACGAUGCGUAGCCGACCUGAGAGGGUGAUCGGCCACACUGGAACUGAGACACGGUCCAGACUCCUACGGGAGGCAGCAGUAGGGAAUCUUCCGCAAUGGGCGAAAGCCUGACGGAGCAACGCCGCGUGAGUGAAGAAGGUCUUCGGAUCGUAAAACUCUGUUAUUAGGGAAGAACAAAUGUGUAAGUAACUAUGCACGUCUUGACGGUACCUAAUCAGAAAGCCACGGCUAACUACGUGCCAGCAGCCGCGGUAAUACGUAGGUGGCAAGCGUUAUCCGGAAUUAUUGGGCGUAAAGCGCGCGUAGGCGGUUUUUUAAGUCUGAUGUGAAAGCCCACGGCUCAACCGUGGAGGGUCAUUGGAAACUGGAAAACUUGAGUGCAGAAGAGGAAAGUGGAAUUCCAUGUGUAGCGGUGAAAUGCGCAGAGAUAUGGAGGAACACCAGUGGCGAAGGCGACUUUCUGGUCUGUAACUGACGCUGAUGUGCGAAAGCGUGGGGAUCAAACAGGAUUAGAUACCCUGGUAGUCCACGCCGUAAACGAUGAGUGCUAAGUGUUAGGGGGUUUCCGCCCCUUAGUGCUGCAGCUAACGCAUUAAGCACUCCGCCUGGGGAGUACGACCGCAAGGUUGAAACUCAAAGGAAUUGACGGGGACCCGCACAAGCGGUGGAGCAUGUGGUUUAAUUCGAAGCAACGCGAAGAACCUUACCAAAUCUUGACAUCCUCUGAUCCCCUCUAGAGAUAGAGUUUUCCCCUUCGGGGGACAGAGUGACAGGUGGUGCAUGGUUGUCGUCAGCUCGUGUCGUGAGAUGUUGGGUUAAGUCCCGCAACGAGCGCAACCCUUAAGCUUAGUUGCCAUCAUUAAGUUGGGCACUCUAAGUUGACUGCCGGUGACAAACCGGAGGAAGGUGGGGAUGACGUCAAAUCAUCAUGCCCCUUAUGAUUUGGGCUACACACGUGCUACAAUGGACAAUACAAAGGGUAGCGAAAACCGCGAGGUCAAGCAAAUCCCAUAAAGUUGUUCUCAGUUCGGAUUGUAGUCUGCAACUCGACUACAUGAAGCUGGAAUCGCUAGUAAUCGUAGAUCAGCAUGCUACGGUGAAUACGUUCCCGGGUCUUGUACACACCGCCCGUCACACCACGAGAGUUUGUAACACCCGAAGCCGGUGGAGUAACCUUUUGGAGCUAGCCGUCGAAGGUGGGACAAAUGAUUGGGGUGAAGUCGUAACAAGGUAGCCGUAUCGGAAGGUGCGGCUGGAUCACCU
Molecule: ribosomal RNA, 1541 nt
Filed under: Staphylococcus capitis C87
Lineage: Bacteria; Bacillati; Bacillota; Bacilli; Caryophanales; Staphylococcaceae
Description: 16S ribosomal RNA
Rfam family: Bacterial small subunit ribosomal RNA
Source: RNAcentral